Molecule: ribosomal RNA, 890 nt
Filed under: uncultured bacterium
Lineage: Bacteria
Description: bacterial SSU rRNA
Rfam family: Bacterial small subunit ribosomal RNA
Source: RNAcentral
AGAGUUUGAUCCUGGCUCAGGAUGUACGCCGGCGGUGUGCCUAAUACAUGCAAGUCGUACGCGUUGGCCCAACUGAUUGAACGUGCUUGCACGGACUUGACGUUGGUUUACCAGCGAGUGGCGGACGGGUGAGUAACACGUAGGUAACCUGCCCCAAAGCGGGGGAUAACAUUUGGAAACAGAUGCUAAUACCGCAUAACAAUUUGAAUCGCAUGAUUCAAAUUUGAAAGAUGGCUUUGGCUAUCACUUUGGGAUGGACCUGCGGCGCAUUAGCUUGUUGGUAGGGUAACGGCCUACCAAGGCUGUGAUGCGUAGCCGAGUUGAGAGACUGAUCGGCCACAAUGGAACUGAGACACGGUCCAUACUCCUACGGGAGGCAGCAGUAGGGAAUCUUCCACAAUGGGCGCAAGCCUGAUGGAGCAACACCGCGUGAGUGAAGAAGGGUUUCGGCUCGUAAAGCUCUGUUGUUAGAGAAGAACGUGCGUGAGAGCAACUGUUCGCGCAGUGACGGUAUCUAACCAGAAAGUCACGGCUAACUACGUGCCAGCAGCCGCGGUAAUACGUAGGUGGCAAGCGUUAUCCGGAUUUAUUGGGCGUAAAGCGAGCGCAGGCGGUUUGAUAAGUCUGAUGUGAAAGCCUUUGGCUUAACCAAAGAAGUGCAUCGGAAACUGUCAGACUUGAGUGCAGAAGAGGACAGUGGAACUCCAUGUGUAGCGGUGGAAUGCGUAGAUAUAUGGAAGAACACCAGUGGCGAAGGCGGCUGUCUGGUCUGCAACUGACGCUGAGGCUCGAAAGCAUGGGUAGCGAACAGGAUUAGAUACCCUGGUAGUCCAUGCCGUAAACGAUGAGUGCUAGGUGUUGGAGGGUUUCCGCCCUUCAGUGCCGCAGCU